GAAUUAGAGCCAUCUGUUUAUGUAAGCAAGAGGCGUCUGGUGCUCUUUUCCUCUCCCUUCCUCUGAGGCAGAGUCCAGGGCAAAGAGUACCAUCGCAUACGAAAAGUGGUGCUUCCACAAAGAGGCAGUAGUAAGGUGAGAUGAGACCCUUGACUGCACAGAGCGGACAGUCCAGAGAGAUUCACCACAUGUAAGCAGGCAGCCCCCACACACAACGAGCAUAGCCAGGAUGAGAGGAAGACAGAUCUGUGGGAGCACCCAGGCCCGCUCCCUAAUCCAGACUUACAGGCAAUAUUUUUUUAACAACAACCAGCAAAAAGACCAUCUAAUGUAUGCUGAGAACUGGAAGAGCAGAAAAAAGACUUUUGCAGGAUGGUUGUCUGAUUCCUUGGGAAAUCUGAAGAGCUUGAAUGGGAAGGCGCACAGACUGAAGACUGUCUCAGGCGGGAAACAACAGCAUAAGCAAAGGCCGGCAAGCCUUCCCUCAGUCAAAGCAUUGGUAUAUUUUCACACUGCAGGCCAAGCCUCAACAAUAACUCCACCAGGAUUUAGAAAACUGGAUAGAUUCUAGAGAACUCUUUUUGAAAUGCUGAGUAAACCAAACAUCUCCCCUGCCCUUUGCAGUCUGAUGUGUAGAAAGCACCCAGUAAAUAUUUCCUACAUUAACGAGUUCACUUAAAAGUUGGGUCACAGUAAGAAAGUACAUAAUCAGAAAUGAAGGCAACUACGUACAGCAGAGGAGAAAAGAGAAUCUAGGUGAUAUAAAGCAAACGUCACUGUGCUGGCUGGGCAAACAUAUGGUAUGCUAAAUAUUAAGGAAAUUCAAAAGGAGCCUUCAUUGUCAUUAAUAAUGACCUUGUAUUCCAUAUGUGAGUAUUUACCUUGAUUUCUGUAUCAAAGCAAAACUUGCUUUACACUAUAAUUACAUUUGAAAUGAUAUAGCAUAAAUAUUAAAUGAUGGUAUAGACUGUGGCUGAUGUGGAGCUUUUUGUGGUAACACAGUAAGAUGCAAUGAGUAACACAUUACAGAACACAUGAUUGGAGAUCAUCACAGCCUCUUGCUCUGAAAGAAGAGUUCAAUGCUUUUUUCUGUAGCAUGUGUCACAGUGAUUCUAGAAAGUGAAGUUUUCAAAGCCACAUCUUAAUGAAGAGAUUCUCGUUAUUUACACAUCUGACCAAAGAAGGACAUGUGGGCAGAUACACGCAUCCAUCAUUAGCCAUCCUGUUGCUGCCUCACAGAUGCCCCGACCAUAUUGUUGUCAAAACAGCUUCAAUGUUGCUACAGUGCCCUAAUGAGGCAUAAAAUGUUCCUGUUUAUAAGACAGAUCUGUACACAUCUUCAUAAGGGUACAAGAGAAUAGUAUCUGAAAUAUGGCAUCUGCCAACUUUGCAGCAAUCUCUUAGUCUAACUCACCCUAUUUUCAGAAAAACUAUCUUCACGUAUUCAUUUAAUACAUGAUUUCAUUUACUGCUAUGUGGACAGCAUUGUCUCAAUGACUAUGGACAGUUCAAAAGAAGUUUAAGGCUUGGUUCUUGCCUCUAGAAGUCUUAAAUUCUAACCAGAGAAAUAAGAUUUACGUACAUAAAAUGGUCAUCACGUCAAAUGGACAGAAAUAAUAAUAACA
This is a long non-coding RNA of Equus caballus (horse), 1625 nucleotides long. Lineage: Eukaryota; Metazoa; Chordata; Mammalia; Perissodactyla; Equidae. The record is from Ensembl.